AACACGUAUGAGACCUGCCCGUAGCAGGGGGGGAUAAGCGGAAGAAAUUCCGUCUAAUACCGCGUAACAACCCUUGGAGGCACCUCCUCGGGUUUAAAGGAAGCGAUUCCGGCUACGGAUGGUCAUGCGUCGCAUUAGCUGGUUGGCGGGGUAACGGCCCACCAAGGCGACGAUGCGUAGGGGUUCUGAGAGGAAGGUCCCCCACACUGGUACUGAGACACGGACCAGACUCCUACGGGAGGCAGCAGUGAGGAAUAUUGGUCAAUGGCCGCAGGGCUGAACCAGCCAAGUCGCGUGAGGGAUGACGGUCCUAUGGAUUGUAAACCUCUUUUGUCAGGGAGCAAAGGGCGCCACGUGUGGCGCUUUGCGAGUACCUGAAGAAAAAGCAUCGGCUAACUCCGUGCCAGCAGCCGCGGUAAUACGGAGGAUGCGAGCGUUAUCCGGAUUUAUUGGGUUUAAAGGGUGCGCAGGCGGAAUGUCAAGUCAGCGGUAAAAUUUCGGGGCUCAACCCCGUCGUGCCGUUGAAACUGGCGUUCUUGAGUGAGCGAGAAGUAUGCGGAAUGCGUGGUGUAGCGGUGAAAUGCAUAGAUAUCACGCAGAACUCCGAUUGCGAAGGCAGCAUACCGGCGCUCAACUGACGCUCAUGCACGAAAGCGUGGGU
This 661-nucleotide ribosomal RNA is filed under the name uncultured bacterium. RNAcentral's name for it is "bacterial SSU rRNA". It matches the Rfam family "Bacterial small subunit ribosomal RNA", at positions 112 to 766 of the family's 1533-position model. The record is from RNAcentral.